RNAcentral lists this ribosomal RNA (109 nucleotides) under Jaculus jaculus (lesser Egyptian jerboa). Lineage: Eukaryota; Metazoa; Chordata; Mammalia; Rodentia; Dipodidae. The record is from RNAcentral.
AUCUGUGGCCAUACUGCCCUGAACACACUUGAUCUUCUCUGAUCUCAGAAGCUAAGCAGGGUCAAGCCUAGUUAGUAUUUGGAUGAAAGAAAUGGAAGUUGUUCGAAUU